UAGGGAAUCUUCGGCAAUGGGGGGAACCCUGACCGAGCAACGCCGCGUGAGUGAAGAAGGUUUUCGGAUCGUAAAGCUCUGUUGUUAAGGAAGAACGAGUGUGAGAAUGGAAAGUUCAUGCUGUGACGGUACUUAACCAGAAAGGGACGGCUAACUACGUUCCAGCAGCCGCGGUAAUACGUAGGUCCCGAGCGUUGUCCGGAUUUAUUGGGCGUAAAGCGAGCGCAGGCGGUUAGAAAAGUCUGAAGUGAAAGGCAGUGGCUCAACCAUUGUAGGCUUUGGAAACUGUUUAACUUGAGUGCAGAAGGGGAGAGUGGAAUUCCAUGUGUAGCGGUGAAAUGCGUAGAUAUAUGGAGGAACACCGGUGGCGAAAGCGGCUCUCUGGUCUGUAAAUGACGCUGAGGAUCGAAAGCGUGGGGAGCGAACAGG
This 429-nucleotide ribosomal RNA is filed under the name Verrucomicrobiota bacterium. Its description in RNAcentral is "Verrucomicrobia bacterium partial 16S ribosomal RNA". It matches the Rfam family "Bacterial small subunit ribosomal RNA", at positions 355 to 776 of the family's 1533-position model. The record is from RNAcentral. Lineage: Bacteria; Pseudomonadati; Verrucomicrobiota.